RNAcentral lists this ribosomal RNA (247 nucleotides) under uncultured bacterium. RNAcentral's name for it is "partial 16S ribosomal RNA". It matches the Rfam family "Bacterial small subunit ribosomal RNA", at positions 523 to 769 of the family's 1533-position model. The record is from RNAcentral.
AUACGUAGGUGGCAAGCGUUGUCCGGAUUUAUUGGGCGUAAAGCGAGCGCAGGCGGUUCCUUAAGUCUGAUGUGAAAGCCCACGGCUUAACCGUGAAAGGUCAUUGGAAGCUGGGGAACUUGAGUGCAGAAGAGGAGAGUGGAAUUCCAUGUGUAGCGGUGAAAUGCGUAGAUAUAUGGAGGAACACCAGUGGCGAAGGCGACUCUCUGGUCUGUAACUGACGCUGAGGCUCGAAAGCGUGGGGAGC